Molecule: ribosomal RNA, 500 nt
Filed under: uncultured bacterium
Lineage: Bacteria
Description: bacterial SSU rRNA
Rfam family: Bacterial small subunit ribosomal RNA
Source: RNAcentral
AGAGUUUGAUCCUGGCUCAGGACGAACGCUGGCGGCGUGCCUAAUACAUGCAAGUCGAGCGAACCAAUAAGAAGCUUGCUUUUUGUUGGUUAGCGGCGGACGGGUGAGUAACACGUGGGUAACCUGCCUGUAAGACCGGGAUAACUCCGGGAAACCGGUGCUAAUACCGGAUAGAUUAUCUUUCCGCCUGGAGAGAUAAGGAAAGAUGGCUAUUGCCAUCACUUACAGAUGGGCCCGCGGCGCAUUAGCUAGUUGGUGAGGUAACGGCUCACCAAGGCGACGAUGCGUAGCCGACCUGAGAGGGUGAUCGGCCACACUGGGACUGAGACACGGCCCAGACUCCUACGGGAGGCAGCAGUAGGGAAUCUUCCGCAAUGGACGAAAGUCUGACGGAGCAACGCCGCGUGAGUGAAGAAGGUCUUCGGAUCGUAAAGCUCUGUUGUUAGGGAAGAACAAGUAUCGGAGGAAAUGCCGGUACCUUGACGGUACCUGACGAGAAG